RNAcentral lists this non-coding RNA (21 nucleotides) under Caenorhabditis elegans. Lineage: Eukaryota; Metazoa; Nematoda; Chromadorea; Rhabditida; Rhabditidae. The record is from RNAcentral.
UAGAAUGAAUGAGAUCAAAUU